This 433-nucleotide ribosomal RNA is filed under the name uncultured bacterium. Its description in RNAcentral is "partial 16S ribosomal RNA". It matches the Rfam family "Bacterial small subunit ribosomal RNA", at positions 29 to 507 of the family's 1533-position model. The record is from RNAcentral.
AACGAACGCUGGCGGCAUGCCUAACACAUGCCAGUCGAACGAGACCUUCGGGUCUAGUGGCGCACGGGUGCGUAACGCGUGGGAACCUGCCCUUAGGUUCGGAAUAACUCCCCGAAAGGGGUGCUAAUACCGGAUAAUGUCUUCGGACCAAAGAUUUAUCGCCUUUGGAUGGGCCCGCGUUGGAUUAGCUAGUUGGUAGGGUAAAAGCCUACCAAGGCGACGAUCCAUAGCUGGUCUGAGAGGAUGAUCAGCCACACUGGGACUGAGACACGGCCCAGACUCCUACGGGAGGCAGCAGUGGGGAAUAUUGGACAAUGGGCGAAAGCCUGAUCCAGCAAUGCCGCGUGAGUGAUGAAGGCCUUAGGGUUGUAAAGCUCUUUUACCCGGGAUGAUAAUGACAGUACCGUGAGAAUAAGCGCCGGCUAACUCCGUG